RNAcentral lists this unclassified non-coding RNA (282 nucleotides) under Ascomycota sp. Its description in RNAcentral is "partial contains small subunit ribosomal RNA, internal transcribed spacer 1, and 5.8S ribosomal RNA". The stretch from base 1 to 47 matches the Rfam family "Eukaryotic small subunit ribosomal RNA", at positions 1785 to 1831 of the family's 1831-position model. Lineage: Eukaryota; Fungi; Ascomycota. The record is from RNAcentral.
AAAGUCAUAACAAGGUUUUCGUAGGUGAACCUGUGGAAGGAUCAUUAAUGAAAACUAUUUUAAUAGUUCUCAAACUCUAAACCCCUUUGUUUAAACUUACCAUGUUACUUCCACUGGACAGGCUAAGCUUGUAUUACUAAGUGAAGCCCUUUAGAUUAUGCCUUUGGUAUUUUCUAGGGAGCUACCAGUGGAUAGAACCUAUAAAUUCUAUUUGUAAAACCUAUAUCUAAUUUAAAUAUUGUAAUGAUAUAAAAACUUUCAACAAUGGAUCUCUAAGCUCUU